Long non-coding RNA from Prunus persica (peach), 1446 nucleotides. RefSeq lists it as uncharacterized. Lineage: Eukaryota; Viridiplantae; Streptophyta; Magnoliopsida; Rosales; Rosaceae. The transcript is spliced from 3 exons. The record is from RefSeq and is a predicted model, not a curated record.
CUCCCGAUUUUUGCUCCAGCCCCCCAACCUUUCCUCCUUCUCCUUGACGCCACGGCCGCCACACUUGGAACCGAUCUCUGCCGUUGGUACCAAACGAACCACCACUCGACCGCCGACGUUUCUUGACCCUUCGCCGGAGUUUCCGUGGCCGGUGAUCGCCGGAAAACUCCAUUUUCGCCGGAUUUCCAGUUUGAACUUUGAGCUCGAUUUUCUCCUUCACUUCUCCACCAAAUCGAUCGAGUAAGGCACCAGAAGUCCAAUCGACUUGCAGGAAGGACCUUCGAAGGGUCCAAUUAGCUCGGACCAUCAGCCGUAGAAGUGCGCAGGAUCCACCACCGGGCCAUCCCUAGCUUCCGCGCCACCAAGUAUUGAGUUUUGUGGAAAAGUUCUUGAAACUCUGUGAACUUUAGAAAAUGCUCUGAUAUCUAGUUUUAGUGGAAAACUGGAGCUGGUGAAUACUUAGUUAUUCUCUUCUGGCAGUUGGUGUAGAUUUUUUUGUUUGUUGGACAGGUGAAAAAAUUUGGGUUUGGUCAAAUUACAGGGGAGACUCUGCCGAAUUUUCGGCAGAAGUCUAAGGGAAAUUUUAAAAGAAUUUUGAACGAGAAGGGUAAGAAGGUCUUUUGUGCCCGACAUUCGCCAGGUGUCGGACACGCACAGGACUUGGCUCGAAUUUCAAAGCGGAAAUUGGGUCGGGUCCUGUCGUAGUUGGCUUGAUAAGACCAUUUUAAAAUCCAGGGGGCUUUAUACCAUGCUUCAAUAUAAUCGGCAUAGUUGUAUUGGAGAGUUGACUGGAGGGUUUGCAGAUCAUAAGGGUGGCUUCUGAAUUCUUCUUGACUUAAGAUUCGGUGGAUGUAGAGAGAAUGGUAAAGGAUAAUUGGGGUUUCUCUCAGUCUUUGGUGGGUUUGAUUUCAACUGAAUAGGUCUCAUUGAGAAUAUCCCUGUAAAAUUUGAGGGAUUUGUAAGGGCUUGGGGGCAUAAAAUGAUGAUUCGGAGGGAAAUAAGAUGUUGGCUAUUUCGACUGGAUUGGUGAUUUUGUCAUAAACGGGCUCAUAAUGAAAAGGUGCGAACUAUCUUUUGGGAAAUAAGGGGAUGAUUUUUUGAGGGGAGAAGGAGAUUGGGCAACUUGGGAGGGGAUUUGGAAGGGAUCAUAACUGGAGACUAAAGCAGACUGGUAAUUGAGACGGAUUUGACCGACUGUGGUCCCUAAACUGGAAAAUCUAUUACUGAUUUGGAUUGGAGAGCAUCCCGGGAAAAGGACUAUCUGGGAUGGUAAUUCUGUUUUGACUGGGUUUAUUGAAGGGGGAAGGAUUCUGAGCGACUGGGAUGACUUAGUUUGAUUGGCUUGCUCUUUUUGUUUGUCUUUUCUGGCAGCCAUUGUUUAUCUUGCAAAAAUUCUCUAGUAAGGAAAUAAGGAAUAGAAUUCUCACUUUCUCUCAAAUAUUCAAU